RNAcentral lists this long non-coding RNA (1677 nucleotides) under Cyanistes caeruleus (blue tit). RNAcentral describes it as "lncRNA (ENSCCEG00000005183.1)". The record is from RNAcentral. Lineage: Eukaryota; Metazoa; Chordata; Aves; Passeriformes; Paridae.
GAGUCUGUUUCUAAAACGACAACGACAAAAAAACAAACAAGCAAAAAAAAUUUGAUAAUAAUUAAUAAUAAUUAAUAAUAAUAAUUGUAUUUCCAUAAGCGGUGUAAUUUUUUUUUUCCAGUGUAGCUGCAGCUCUGUUGUACAAUAGAGAACUUUUUAUAAUCAAGCCCAAAUGUGAUUCCUCAAAGAUGCUUUUCCCAAAUUUCCCCAUCCCAGCGACUCCAAGGUGCUUCGGAGAAGAGAGGAAAAAAAAAAAGAAACAAACCCCGAAGUUUCUGGAAAAUUCCCCCCGGAUCCGGUGGCAAUUCCUGGGUUUAAUUUAUUUUUUUAGGGGUUGUUUUUUUUUUGGAUAUUUUUGUCAUUUUAUUUCCCUUUUCCCGCUUCCUCUGCAGCCCUCGGGGUCAGAUUUUCCCGCUGGACGCGGAUUCGGGAAGGGGAGGAUGGGAAUUCCCUUGGGAUGGCUUUGGGAGGGAGAUCCUGUCCUGGAAAUUCGGGAAAUUCGGGAAAAUCGGGAUCUGCCAGCGGGGGAAGGGAGGUGUCCCGAGCCAGGCCGGGUUUGGAGCGGGAUUCCCUGGCUUUUCCAUGGGAUCGGGAAUUCGGGAUGAGCCCAGCGCUGCCCUCCGCAUUCAGGGAAUUCCCGGAAUUCCUGGGAGAGAGAGGAGAGAGCAGCGGGAUCUGGGAAUUCCCGGAAUUCCUGGGAGAGGAGAGAGCAGCGGGAUCAGGGAAUUCCCGGAAUUCCUGGGAGAGGAGAGAGCAGCGGGAUCAGGGAAUUAGAGGAGAGAGCAGCGGGAUCUGGGAAUUCCCGGAAUUCCUGGGAGAGGAGAGAGCAGCGGGAUCAGGGAAUUCCUGGAAUUCCUGGGAUUCCGGAGAGAGCAGCGGGAUCAGGGAAUUCCCGGAAUUCAGCGGGAUCAGGGAAUUCCCGGAAUUCCUGCCCGGUUUUUGGGACAGGGGGAUUUUUGGGAUGAAGCUGUUCCCCAGCCCGGGAUGUUCCCAGAUGGUUUUUAGGGACAGAGUCGGGGAUUUGGGGCAAUUCCAGGUCCAGGCUGGAGCUGUUCCCGUGGGAAUUGCCCCGUUCCAGGCUGGGAUUCCCUGGGGCUCCCUCGGGACCCCCGGAGCCAGGAAAAUCCCGUUUUCCUGGGAAUUCCUCCCCUUUGUGCCGCUGUUCCCGUCCCGACCCCACCGAACUCCCCCGGGGGGGGAAUCCCGGCCUGAUCGCGGAUUUUGGGAUUCGUUCUCAGCCGGAAAAGGCGGAAUUCUCCCCCAGGACAAAGCUGGGUUGGGAAAACCUCUGGAAUUUGCUCCUCCCAAGGUUUUCCCAAUCCCGGAGUUGGGUUUUCCCAUUCAUUGGAAACUCCGGGACCGUUCUGGGUCCAAACCCCUCAUUUUUGGCUGAACCGAGGCCCCUCAGAAAUGACAUUUUUAAACCAUUUUCUCCACAAUAAUUAACCCUCCCCACCCCGUUCCCUCCUGGCAGGAAAAAAUUCCAAUCCUGAAUUCCCAACCGCUGCAAUUCCCUGGAAUUCUCUGCCUUCCACCCCUGCCAUUCCCUGCUCAGGCCUGGGAUAAUCUGAUUUUUAAACGCCGGGAAAGCCCCAAACGGACGAGCAAUAAUUUCUAUUCCAGGUUCUUUUCCCCCUUCCCAAUAAAUCCUCCGGCAUUCCAGGCUGCUCUCCCGAG